RNAcentral lists this long non-coding RNA (1883 nucleotides) under Bactrocera tryoni. RNAcentral's name for it is "uncharacterized LOC120781469, transcript variant X1". The record is from RNAcentral. Lineage: Eukaryota; Metazoa; Arthropoda; Insecta; Diptera; Tephritidae.
UUUCUCAACACUGAGGGUGCUGGACUUUAUCUACUUCAAAGUAAGAUUAAUCACAGUUGUGUACCAAACGCUCAUUCGACAUUUUCUUAUACUACAAACGACAUAGUGAGCGCCGCAGACAUUCGAGACAAAAAAAAUAUUUCUUUCAGACAUGUGCUGCAAUUCGUUUUCGCAUGAAAUUUUUAUAGAAAACGUGACACCAUGUGCUGAAUUUCACUGUUCCGUUUUCAAACCUCAAUCGUAUCAUAUUUAACAUGUGACAGAAAUCGAAUUCGUCAUAUUUUUUCCGUUUUGAAAUCGGUCGGCCGUGAGCACACGCAAAAUAUAUUUGAUUGUAAAAAAGUUGAAAAAAUCACCCGGAUAUAGCGAAAAAUUUUGUUAAGGGCGACCGCGCGGCAAUGGAGGCUUUUUGCUGGCGAAAAAGCUUAAUUGCUAUAAAUGGCUGGAAGAAAGUCUGGUCGGACUGUAAAGAAAAAAUUGCACACAAUAAAUGCGAGACAAUAGCCUCCGGUGGAGUUCAGUUUAACCAGUUCGUUUUAACAUCAACGAAAGAAAAAAUUGCUGAACUAGCCGGUAUAUUUACGAGUGCUGAAGGGAUUCCCAAAAUGUUUUUUUUUUUCAGUAUAAAUGAAAAUUCUGAUCCCUCGGAUGAAGAAAAUAUUGUGCCGAGUGCGUCAGAAAGUACGUCAAUACCCCAAAAACGUCUUCGGCAAGACUCGAUUCAAGAUUGCAUAAGGUAAAAUAUCGUAAAGGAGGCAGGUGCGGUUGAAAAGUUGUCUGGGACAUUGGGGCAUCUUCUCAAAAGUUUCAGAGAAACUUCAACAAUUUUAAAAGAAGCGAAUCAUUUCGGUAUUUCGGUACAAUAAAAACACUCAUAUUCACAAAAAUAUUUCACACAAAAUUGUUAUUGAAUGUCAGUUGUUUGACUAUCAGCUCUUUCGAAUUUAAGUUCGAAUCAGAAAAAAAUCGUGUGAAUUUUAUCAUACCUCAAAUCAAUUCCUACGAUUUGCAAUUUCGGUGUCAAAAUGAAAUCGCGCGAUUUCCAGCACAUGCCGGUUUAUAUUAUUUAUAUCACCAUAAAAGACUUUUCAACGUUAUUUCGUAUGUUUCAAAACUAGGAUGCAUGCACCACCUGAGCUUGCGUGCUAAAAGUGGUGUGCACGAUUUAAAAGUGGUGAUUUUGACUUAAUAGACUAAGAACGUCCUGGGCUGGGCGGCAUUACUCGAUAAAUAUUGCUACAAACAUAAGAAACCCUCACAGAGUCUUUGGGAGUCACUCAUACCCGAGCCAGACAUGUGGUAACAAUACCAUAGUAAAGGUACCACGGUAUUCUGUUUACUACGUUGAUGACACACAUGGCAAUGUAGUAAACUCAAAUACCAGCUUUCAGAAGCAUUAAAUAUUUAAUCUAUUUUCAUCGCAAAAAAAGUGAUUUGGUUAAAGCUUCUCUAAAAUCCUCACACAAAAUAAGGUAUUUCCUGCUUUUCCGGAAGAAAAAUUGUGAAAAAUGUUUUGUUUUCCAUUUCAUUAAUUAAUUUUUUAACUAAUUUUGACAGAAUAUUUCGAAGAUCUUUUGUCUAAAAGCUUUUAGCAAAGUUUGUUACCUGUUUUUUAGGUGUUUAUAGAAAUACCACAAUGAAACAUCAUAGGAUUGUUACCAGCAAAAUACUACAUUGCUCAUAUGGUAUUUUGCUAGUAUUUGGUGACACACAUUGGUAUUUGUAGCAUAUAUGGUAUUUUUACUAUGUACAUGUCUGUCUCGGGUAUCAGGCAGCUUUGCCAAAACGUUUACGUAUAAAUGCAGUUUGAAGGCAUUAGAAAUAACUCAGUUUGCUUGUUUGUGACUAGUGAUGAAGAAUGGAUCCAUUAUGGCAGGGGUGGG